This 513-nucleotide ribosomal RNA is filed under the name uncultured bacterium. RNAcentral's name for it is "partial 16S ribosomal RNA". It matches the Rfam family "Bacterial small subunit ribosomal RNA", at positions 28 to 523 of the family's 1533-position model. The record is from RNAcentral.
GACGAACGCUGGCGGCAUGCCUAAUACAUGCAAGUCGAGCGAACAGAUGAAGUGCUUGCACUUCUGACGUUAGCGGCGAACGGGUGAGUAACACGUAAGGAAUCUACCUAUAAGCGGGGGAUAACAUUCGGAAACGGGUGCUAAUACCGCAUAAUAUCUUCUUCCGCAUGGAAGAAGAUUGAAAGACGGCUCUGCUGUCACUUAUAGAUGACCUUGCGGUGCAUUAGUUAGUUGGUGGGGUAAUGGCCUAUCAAGACGAUGAUGCAUAGCCGACCUGAGAGGGUGAUCGGCCACAUUGGGACUGAGACACGGCCCAAACUCCUACGGGAGGCAGCAGAAGGGAAUCUUCCGCAAUGGGCGAAAGCCUGACGGAGCAAUGCCGCGUGAGUGAAGAAGGCCUUCGGGUCGUAAAACUCUGUUAUAAGAGAAGAACAAAUUGUAGAGUAACUGCUACAGUCUUGACGGUAUCUUAUCAGAAAGCCACGGCUAACUACGUGCCAGCCGCCGCGGUAA